CCUACGGGAGGCAGCAGUGGGGAAUAUUGCACAAUGGGGGAAACCCUGAUGCAGCGACGCCGCGUGAGUGAUGAAGUAUUUCGGUAUGUAAAGCUCUAUCAGCAGGGAAGAAAAGGACGGUACGUGACCAAGAAGCCACGGCUAACUACGUGCCAGCAGCCGCGGUAAUACGUAGGGGACAAGCGUUAUGCGGUUUUAUUGGGUUGGAAGGGUGCGUAGGCGGAUUUUUAAGUCAGCGGUAAAGUCGUGGGGCUCAACCGGAUCCAGCCGUUGAAACUGGGGAUCUAGAGUGUGCGAGAGGUAUGCGGAAUGCGUGGUGUAGCGGUGAAAUGCAUAGAUAUCACGCAGAACACCGAUUGCGAAGGCAGCAUACCGGUGCACAACUGACGCUCAGGCACGAAAGCGUGGGUAUCGAACAGGAUUAGAUACCCCAGUAGUC
Molecule: ribosomal RNA, 439 nt
Filed under: uncultured bacterium
Lineage: Bacteria
Description: partial 16S ribosomal RNA
Rfam family: Bacterial small subunit ribosomal RNA
Source: RNAcentral